UGCCGCGUGCGGGAAGAAGGCCUUCGGGUUGUAAACCGCUUUUGUCAGGGAAGAAAAGGUUCUGGAUAAUACCUGGGACUCAUGACGGUACCUGAAGAAUAAGCACCGGCUAACUACGUGCCAGCAGCCGCGGUAAUACGUAGGGUGCAAGCGUUAAUCGGAAUUACUGGGCGUAAAGCGUGCGCAGGCGGUUAUGCAAGACAGAGGUGAAAUCCCCGGGCUCAACCUGGGAACUGCCUUUGUGACUGCAUAGCUAGAGUACGGUAGAGGGGGAUGGAAUUCCGCGUGUAGCAGUGAAAUGCGUAGAUAUGCGGAGGAACACCGAUGGCGAAGGCAAUCCCCUGGACCUGUACUGACGCUCAUGCACGAAAGCGUGGGGAGCAAACAGGAUUAGAUACCCUGGUAGUCCACGCCCUAAACGAUGUCAACUGGUUGUUGGGAGGGUUUCUUCUCAGUAACGAAGCUAA
RNAcentral lists this ribosomal RNA (467 nucleotides) under Roseateles sp. RNAcentral's name for it is "bacterial SSU rRNA". It matches the Rfam family "Bacterial small subunit ribosomal RNA", at positions 395 to 855 of the family's 1533-position model. Lineage: Bacteria; Pseudomonadati; Pseudomonadota; Betaproteobacteria; Burkholderiales; Sphaerotilaceae. The record is from RNAcentral.